RNAcentral lists this long non-coding RNA (1409 nucleotides) under Capsicum annuum. RNAcentral's name for it is "long non-coding RNA (CANN_LNC005677)". The record is from RNAcentral. Lineage: Eukaryota; Viridiplantae; Streptophyta; Magnoliopsida; Solanales; Solanaceae.
CAAGCACACAAACAAAUCACACAAAAUUCAAAACCAAAAUAAUGUACAGUCGAACUUAUACAGUCCAAAAUAUAAAAAAACAUACGGAAAGGUAAAACCUAUUCUCUUCUAAACUAAUCCUACACUGAACUCCAACCCGCCGCCUCGGGCCUUCGUCACGAACGUCUUUCGAGUACAAAAUACUUCGGGACAUUCUCCGACGAAUAAACACAAAUACCUCAGGGCAUUCCCCGGCUAAAUGAAUACACUUCCAAAUACGACAAAAACAACAUUCAACGAAUAUUUUCAUCAUUCAAAAGUCCUAAUUUUGCCUGCCCGAGCCUACCGUUUGCCUAUCCAGCAUAACCUAUCAUGGUACUAUCACAAUCAGCAAUAUCAAUGAACCAAAACAAUAAUAUUUCAACUUAUUCGAUUAUCAAUUCCCCCAAAUCAUUCCCAAUCACAUGAUUAAUCAAUGUUGACAUAAACUCAAGCAAUCAAAGUCAUAAUCACAACGCUUAAAAUUUCUCAAACACACUAUCAAAAUAUAUCACCAACCCAACAUGAAUCAUGCAAGCCACAACAUCAAAACAUCAACUCUAUAAUAAGAUAGUAAUAGAAAGAGAUAGAGUUGAAAAUUUGGACCUCAAAUUUGACGUUUUAUUUUAAUUGAAUUGCUCGACUAAGCGGCGCUGGAAUACCUCAAUUUGAACCUCAAAUAUGAACCCUAACUCGGAAUAGAUUUCAAUGAGCAUGGACUAAAUCGAAAGUAAAAUCGGGGUUUGCUUAACUGCUCUCUAUAGUCGUAGCUCCGGCGAGCUCCGAUUACCAAAAACGAAGAAGGAAUACGGCUGUGAUGCAUUUUUUGGUGAACCCGUCGCUGGUACAGUAACCAAGCCAUGAAAACUUGUGUUCCCUCAGCCCCGUGUUACUCUCCACUCUCUCGAUCUCAACUCUCUCUUCUCGAUCUCCCUGUUUUGGUUCCAAAUUUUCCUUCAAGCAGUCCUUAAUUCUUUAUUUUCUUUUAAACCUUUUGAUAUCUCCGGCCAAACCACUUGAUCUCUCCUCUCACGUCAUUCUCCUGUCAUCUCUCUCUCUCUCUCUAUUUGUGUAUUAUGCGAGUAUGGUUGAGUGAUGAUGAAAAUGGAGGAGGGUGCAUGUAUGACUGUUGCUUGAGGAUGAGUAUGAAUUGUUUUCUAUUUUGUGGUCUAUAAUAUUUCUGUUUGUGUGUUGAGUGAUCUUGAAAAAGAUAAAAAGAAAGCAAUGGAGUGUGUUUGUUCUAUUUUUUUUUGGUGAGGAUCCACUGAAUUGUGAGUAUGUGUGUGAAUUGUGAGUGAAGGUCCCCUCCUUUUUGUCUUGUGUUGGUGUUUAUGUGAAUGAUUUUUUUUUUUUAGAGCAAAAGUAUUUUCCAGUGGGUUCUCUUUUUGCUU